GAUGAACGCUAGCUACAGGCUUAACACAUGCAAGUCGAGGGGCAUCAGGAAGAAAGCUUGCUUUCUUUGCUGGCGACCGGCGCACGGGUGAGUAACACGUAUCCAACCUGCCCUUUACUCGGGGAUAGCCUUUCGAAAGAAAGAUUAAUACCCGAUGGGAUAAUGAUUCCGCAUGGUUUGAUUAUUAAAGGAUUCCGGUAAAGGAUGGGGAUGCGUUCCAUUAGGUUGUUGGUGAGGUAACGGCUCACCAAGCCUUCGAUGGAUAGGGGUUCUGAGAGGAAGGUCCCCCGCAUUGGAACUGAGACACGGUCCAAACUCCUACGGGAGGCAGCAGUGAGGAAUAUUGGUCAAUGGGCGCGAGCCUGAACCAGCCAAGUAGCGUGAGGGAUGACUGCCCUAUGGGUUGUAAACUUCUUUUAUAUUAGAAUAAAGUGCAGUAUGUAUACUGUUUUGUAUGUAUAAUAUGAAUAAGGAUCGGCUAACUCCGUGCCAGCCGCCGCCGUAA
Molecule: ribosomal RNA, 505 nt
Filed under: uncultured bacterium
Lineage: Bacteria
Description: partial 16S ribosomal RNA
Rfam family: Bacterial small subunit ribosomal RNA
Source: RNAcentral